AGAUAAUAGAGUUAUAAUAGAUAUUACAAUUACAAUAGAGUUAAGUGUUUCAAUUACAAUAGAGGUAAAAGUGUUUUACAAUUUUUUUUGUUGAACAAUAUUGGAAAUAUCUAAAGUCUUACCUUUUGGUCGAGGUGUCGAAAUCAAAGUAGUAUCUUCUUCCCAAUAAUUUCUCGAUAAUGGAAUAAGUUGGUUCAACUGAGAAGAAACAAGAACAUUACUCGAUGAUGGACGAUUCGGGUCGUUGCUUGUAGCAUUAGCCUGAAAAUAAAUGAAAAUAUUCAAAAAUUAAUAAAUUUAAAAACUAAUUUAAAAACAUUUAUUAAACUCACAUGUAUAUUGUCAAUUAACCGUUGUUCCAUCAUUUUAAAUCGUUUUUCGUUUUCUAUUUCGAACGCUUCCAUUCGUUUUUCAACGGCUUUGGAAACUGCCAAUUCAAAUUCUUCAGUGUUGUUUCAAAUAAAUUGUUCAUCAAUCAAUGGUUCCAAAUAAACGUCAAUUUCUUUUUUUGGACCUUUAGGACCGGGAAUCAACAUAGUUAAGAACAUAAA
RNAcentral lists this long non-coding RNA (551 nucleotides) under Zostera marina. Its description in RNAcentral is "long non-coding RNA (ZMAR_LNC001502)". The record is from RNAcentral. Lineage: Eukaryota; Viridiplantae; Streptophyta; Magnoliopsida; Alismatales; Zosteraceae.